GAUGAACGCUGGCGGCGUGCCUAAUACAUGCAAGUCGAGCGAACAGACGAGGAGCUUGCUCCUCUGACGUUAGCGGCGGACGGGUGAGUAACACGUGGAUAACCUACCUAUAAGACUGGGAUAACUUCGGGAAACCGGAGCUAAUACCGGAUAAUAUAUUGAACCGCAUGGUUCAAUAGUGAAAGACGGUUUUGCUGUCACUUAUAGAUGGAUCCGCGCCGCAUUAGCUAGUUGGUAAGGUAACGGCUUACCAAGGCAACGAUGCGUAGCCGACCCGAGAGGGUGAUCGGCCACACUGGAACUGAGACACGGUCCAGACUCCUACGGGAGGCAGCAGUAGGGAAUCUUCCGCAAUGGGCGAAAGCUUGACGGAGCAACGCCGCGUGAGUGAUGAAGGUCUUCGGAUCGUAAAACUCUGUUAUUAGGGAAGAACAAAUGAGUAAGUAACUAUGCACGUCUUGACGGUACCUAAUCAGAAAGCCACGGCUAACUACGUG
This 497-nucleotide ribosomal RNA is filed under the name uncultured bacterium. Its description in RNAcentral is "partial 16S ribosomal RNA". It matches the Rfam family "Bacterial small subunit ribosomal RNA", at positions 28 to 507 of the family's 1533-position model. The record is from RNAcentral.